UGGUUGGACUAACUGGAUUCUAAGUUCUAUUCCUGCUCUGACCUUCUCUGGGAACAGUAAAGUGUCAUAGUAAGAGCACUAAAUUUAGCCUUGGAGACUGGGUUUGAGUUUCCAUCCUUUUCUACCUGUAUGACUUUGAGCACAGAAUUUCUCUGGGCCUCCAUUUCCUUUUCUUUUAUCUCUCCAAGGUCCUGACUAAAUUAGAAGCUGGUGAUCCAUGCAAAUAGCAGGAUGUGGUCAGUUAGCUCAGCUUGUUAGACUACAAGUACCCAUGAGGCCAGUGGCUUCCUGAAAGGGGCAAUGAGAAUUUUUCCAUUCCAUCUGGAUAGACUACAUCCUAAUGCAGAGCCAGUCAUCAUGCAAACCAGUCCAUUUAUCCCAAAUGAAACAAGCCUUCUCCGUGGUGCUCAAGGUUACAGUGUUUGAUGAUGGGAAGCAGCGAGAACCAACCAAGUCAAAGAUGACUGCUGACGAUCAAAUGGAAUGA
This 487-nucleotide long non-coding RNA is filed under the name Monodelphis domestica (gray short-tailed opossum). RNAcentral's name for it is "lncRNA (ENSMODG00000046764.1)". Lineage: Eukaryota; Metazoa; Chordata; Mammalia; Didelphimorphia; Didelphidae. The record is from RNAcentral.